GAUCCGGCGGCAGCGGACGAGGACGAUGAGGAGGAACGCUGGGUCGGGCCGCUCCCGGGGGAAGCCGCGCAGGCGAAGAAAAGGAGAGUUCUUGAAUUCGAACAUGUUUAUCUUGAAAAUCUUCCGUCAGCUUCAAUGUAUGAAUGCAGUUACAUGCACAGAGAUGUUAUUACACACGUGGCAUGUACAAAGACAGAUUUUAUCAUAACAGCCAGUCAUGAUGGACAUGUAAAAUUCUGGAAGAAAAUAGAAGAAGGGAUUGAGUUUGUUAAACACUUCCGAAGUCAUUUGGGUGUUAUUGAGAGUAUUGCUGU
Long non-coding RNA from Melozone crissalis (California towhee), 314 nucleotides. RefSeq lists it as uncharacterized. Lineage: Eukaryota; Metazoa; Chordata; Aves; Passeriformes; Passerellidae. The record is from RefSeq and is a predicted model, not a curated record. The transcript has 4 exons.